UUUCGCAAUGCCCGAAAGGGUGACGAAGCGACGCCGCGUGAGUGAGGAAGGCCUUCGGGUUGUAAAGCUCUGUCAGGAGUUAAGAAAUAUAAGUGUGUUAAUACCACAUUUAUUUGACGAAGGCUCCAAAGGAAGCCACGGCUAACUCUGUGCCAGCAGCCGCGGUAAUACAGAGGUGGCAAGCGUUGUUCGGAAUUAUUGGGCGUAAAGAGCACGUAGGUGGGUUUGUAAGUCAGAUGUGAAAGCCUUCUGUCCAACGGAAGAAUUGCAUCUGAAACUGCGAGUCUUGAGUGUAGGAGGGGAGAAUGGAACUUCUGGUGGAGCGGUGAAAUGCGUAGAUAUCAGAAGGAACGCCGGCGGCGAAAGCGAUUCUCUGGCCUAUUACUGACACUCGGUGUGCGAAAGCUAGGGGAGCAAACGGGAUUAGAUACCCCGGUAGUCCUAGCUGUAAACGAUGGGCACUAAGUAGAGGGGUUUUA
Molecule: ribosomal RNA, 479 nt
Filed under: uncultured anaerobic ammonium-oxidizing bacterium
Lineage: Bacteria
Description: bacterial SSU rRNA
Rfam family: Bacterial small subunit ribosomal RNA
Source: RNAcentral